Molecule: ribosomal RNA, 588 nt
Filed under: uncultured fungus
Lineage: Eukaryota; Fungi
Description: partial large subunit ribosomal RNA
Rfam family: Eukaryotic large subunit ribosomal RNA
Source: RNAcentral
CAAUAAGCGGAGGAAAAGAAACCAACAGGGAUUGCCUCAGUAACGGCGAGUGAAGCGGCAACAGCUCAAAUUUGAAAUCUGACCUUUCGGGUCCGAGUUGUAAUUUGUAGAGGAUGUUUCGGGUAAGAUCUAGGUCUAAGUUCCUUGGAACAGGACGUCAUAGAGGGUGAGAAUCCCGUACGUGGCCGAGGAUCGCACCCAUGUGAAACUCCUUCGACGAGUCGAGUUGUUUGGGAAUGCAGCUCAAAAUGGGUGGUAAAUUUCAUCUAAAGCUAAAUAUUGGCCAGAGACCGAUAGCGCACAAGUAGAGUGAUCGAAAGAUGAAAAGCACUUUGAAAAGAGAGUUAAACAGUAUGUGAAAUUGUUGAAAGGGAAGCGCUUGCAACCAGACUUGUUUAUAGGGUUCAGCCGUCGUUCUCGUCGGUGUAUUUCCCUCUUAUCAGGCCAGCAUCGGUUUAGGUGGAAGGUUAAAGGCCUUGGGAAUGUGGCACCUCUCGGGGUGUGUUAUAGCCCUUGGUGUAAUGCUUCCUACCUGGACCGAGGAACGCGCUUCGGCUCGGAUGCUGGCGUAAUGGUUGUAAGCGACCC